UACGUAGGGUGCGAGCGUUAAUCGGAAUUACUGGGCGUAAAGUGUGCGCAGGCGGCAGAGCAAGUCGAGUGUGAAAGCCCCGGGCUUAACUUGGGAAUUGCGCUCGAAACUACUUUGCUGGAGUGUGGCAGAGGAAGGUGGAAUUCCACGUGUAGCGGUGAAAUGCGUAGAUAUCUGGAGGAACACCGGUGGCGAAGGCGGCAUCCUGGACCGACACUGACGCUGAGGCGCGAAAGCUAGGGUAGCAAACGGG
RNAcentral lists this ribosomal RNA (253 nucleotides) under uncultured bacterium. RNAcentral's name for it is "partial 16S ribosomal RNA". It matches the Rfam family "Bacterial small subunit ribosomal RNA", at positions 524 to 776 of the family's 1533-position model. The record is from RNAcentral.